CUGCGUGUUACAUCCAGAUUGCUUUAAAACUGUGCAGAGUGGAACAAGAGCAUUAAAAACAAUAGGCUUUGGUUUCUUGCUGCUGCUUUUCACUCUUGAAGUGGAUAUAUACUUCCCGGAUGUUGACCCAGGCUCUACCAAAUUACUGAUCGGACUGCCGCGAAAAAGGCCAAGCCGAGACGGGACUCCAGAGAUGGAAUACACAAAGUGGCGAUCGAGCAGCCUGCAGCGAAACUUCAAGCAGCGAAUACACGAAAUAGCGAAGCGCUCCGGCUCCGGCAGGCCCCAAAUGCACCAAGACAAGAAGCGGGCGGCGCAGCAGGAGCCGAGAGGGGAGAGGAAGGCUCAGAACCAAGCGGAGCUCCCGGGAAAGCGGUGCCAGGGGUGGGGAGCGAGCAUGGAGCGAAGGCUGCAGCGCGGCCCCUGAGGCGGGGAGGCGGCGGAGGAUCCGCGCCGCGGGGCGCACCCGUGAGGAGACGCGGCCGCGGGCAGCGUCCGGACGGGGAGUUUAAAAAAGGAGUAAAAUACGGGAAAUCUUAGAUCACGGAUUGCAGCCGGCGAAAAGGCGAUCGUAUGAUCGUGUGUGUUCACUUGUCGUGUGUGGACACUUAUACUGCGCAAAUGGGAUAAAACAGGAUAAAAGGAAAUCGCGAACUUUACUGCUACGGCGUGGAAAACAACGUGACAGUAGAUGGACAAAAUACUUUUACUAUCGAAAGGUGGGACGAGUUGGGGCAGUUUUUGUGGGCAACGGCCAUAGGGGAAGCUACGGUAGCCACAAAAUCGUUACCUACGUGGUAUUUUAUUAGAAAUUCGUUUAAAAAAUUACAAUUGCUGAGGGACCGCAGCUGGUGGGGCAACCGCCCCCCGCGGGCUCCAGAGACCUCUCGGUCAGCACCUCCUGUGUCUGCGGGUCCGUUUCUGUUCCCUCUGUCCACGAAUGAUGGAAAAGUUACAUUUUAAUCCCGUUUUUCACGCUGAAAAGACUAUUAAAAAAAUGCUAUAUCCACUUUGAGACUGCUGUCAGUCUAAGCCAUGUGAAGGCGCCGGCCGCAGGGGCACCCGGACCAAAAGGAGCGGGAGCUGUGUGCGUGCGCUCUGUAAAAUGGCUCCGGCGGCACACGUUGUCCCCGGCGGGGCGGGGGGCCGCUCCCGCUCCCCGGGAAGCCGCGGCGGCUCCGCUCGGGUGAGUUUUAUCCUCCAGGAACCCCCGAGCCCCCGGCUCCGCUCGGUUCGCAGCUCCGUGGGGAACGCGCGAGCUCUGCGGCCGGCCGGAACCGGAGCGCAUUGCCUGCUCCCGGCUCCUCCCCACAGCUGAGGGCUCCAAUGCGGGCCCCUCAUUCCCUCCCGGGCUGCGCGCGGCAUUUCCAACAGCCCCGGCGGCCCUGCCCCGCGGAGCUCCGGGGCGGCAUGUGGGAGCCACAAGCGCUUUGUGCCUUUUGAUCUUUUUUCUGUAUUUGUUUUCGCUGUUUUCCCUCCUUUUGCUACGUGCGGUGUUUAGAGGGUUUUGUGUUCCUUUCCCCUCCGCUUUUCCCCCGCGGUGUUCGGGGCCGGAGGGGAUGCGGCAGCCCCGGGAGGGCUCCAGAGGGGCUGCCCGCCGCCCGGGCAGUGCGGAGCUAAGGAUCGAACUCCUGCGGCUGCGGGCACAGCACAGCGGCGUUUGCUUUUCCCUUUGCCCGCAGCAGCUGCGAGGGGCAGCGGCCGGAGCUCUCCUCUUUCCCUCCAUCGCCCCCGUCUUUUCCCCUGCGGGCAGCACAGCCCCACCACUCCAGCGCCGAGCGGUUUCUGACUCCCUGUUUAAUGAAUUUUACGGUUGCUGGAGGGAUAGAAAGCAGUGAAUGCAGUGCUUUAUUACCUAUCAAAGAUUUCAACGUAGUCUGAUUUAUUUUUAACAAGAACGUUAACAAAUUUGCCAGAAGAAAUUACACAAAAUACAAUUGCGAG
This is a long non-coding RNA of Prinia subflava (tawny-flanked prinia), 1944 nucleotides long. RefSeq lists it as uncharacterized. The record is from RefSeq and is a predicted model, not a curated record. The transcript is spliced from 3 exons. Lineage: Eukaryota; Metazoa; Chordata; Aves; Passeriformes; Cisticolidae.